RNAcentral lists this ribosomal RNA (460 nucleotides) under uncultured bacterium. Its description in RNAcentral is "partial 16S ribosomal RNA". It matches the Rfam family "Bacterial small subunit ribosomal RNA", at positions 338 to 795 of the family's 1533-position model. The record is from RNAcentral.
CCUACGGGAGGCAGCAGUGAGGAAUAUUGGUCAAUGGACGAGAGUCUGAACCAGCCAAGUAGCGUGAAGGAUGACUGCCCUAUGGGUUGUAAACUUCUUUUAUAUGGGAAUAAAAUGUUCCACGUGUGGGAUUUUGUAUGUACCAUAUGAAUAAGGAUCGGCUAACUCCGUGCCAGCAGCCGCGGUAAUACGGAGGAUCCGAGCGUUAUCCGGAUUUAUUGGGUUUAAAGGGAGCGUAGGUGGAGUGUUAAGUCAGUUGUGAAAGUUUUCGGCUCAACCGUAAAAUUGCAGUUGAAACUGGCAGUCUUGAGUACAGUAGAGGUGGGCGGAAUUCGUGGUGUAGCGGUGAAAUGCUUAGAUAUCACGAAGAACUCCGAUUGCGAAGGCAGUUCACUGGACUGCAACUGACACUGAGGCUCGAAAGUGUGGGUAUCAAACAGGAUUAGAUACCCGGGUAGUC